This is a non-coding RNA of Styela clava, 1605 nucleotides long. NCBI's taxonomy places the organism in Eukaryota, Metazoa, Chordata, Ascidiacea, Stolidobranchia, Styelidae. The record is from RefSeq and is a predicted model, not a curated record.
UGUAGUUUUAAUAUUAAUAGAGUGUAAUGCAUUUGAAAUGUCAAAUUCCUUAUUACUAAAAGGAUUACGUGAACGGAAAGUGUGAAGCUUAUAUUUAAAACAACAAAUUUCCCCAUUAUUUGUUGUUCAUUUUCCGACUUGUUGACUAACUAUGAGUCCAUCGUCGUCAGUCGUUUGAUGGUCAAUUUGAGUGACUCGUGACACGAUUUUGAUUCGUUGGUCAUCAAUGUAACAAACAUAUGACGACACUUGAACGUCCACUUAAUGUCAUAGAUUGUUAUGGCGACGCAGCUUGACCCAGGAUGUGACCCCUCUUGUUUCAUACCGUUCGGCCUAUCUGAUAUCGGUUUCGUAUGUGAAAAUACAGUAUAUUUAUUUCUGUGUUUUUGUAGUAAAUUGAACUGGACACAAGUAACAAUACAGACGUAGAUACAAUUAGUUAGGGUUAGGACUAGGUUUGAAAAAUAUUAGAACCCAUUUGUUGCAUGGGGCAAAAAUUUUAAGCAAAUUUAAUGGCCUUCAAAACAUACUUCAUACUUUUUAUUUCUCGUAUAUGUCUUACACAUUGACCCCAGCUGUACUGCAAUAUUUUUAAAUAACCUUAUCUGCAACCACUACGAAUUUCGAAAUAUUACACAAACCCAGGCACUUACACCAUCAUAUGAUUAUUUCAUGUAUGAUCUAACCUAUUUUUCAUUUUAUUUUUCAGAUAAAAAUGAUCUAAUAUGAUAUGGUGCAUUAAAGUGUAUAUGACAGUUUAACGACGUUGGAGAUGAGUAAUGGCAAUGAACUGACAACAUGAAACGGUCAACAUACAGGGCUGACCAGGAGAUAUUUUUGGUCAUUUAAUUAAGCUUCAAGAAGAUUGGUCAAAAUUGGUUGAUGCUGUCACUGAACCCAGUUCGCUUCAAUUAUAUGGAACAACAAUAUCUGCUGUCGAAAAAAAUGCCAAUUAUACUGUGGUUUGGCAGUAAAAUAUUAACUGCCCUUGGAAUUGUACGCUUCUAAAUAAAUACCUUUCCGUCAUAGAUCGUCAUAUAUUAGCAUCACCACAGUUUAAUAAACGCUGUCUAUACCUGCCUAUAAGACCAUGUCGCUGAUGAUAAAACUAAAAAAAUAUGCAAAACGAUAAAAUACAUACCGAAAUCCGUGCAGAUGAUUAUGCUCACUUUUAGAAUGGCUACAUGGGUAGGAAACAUAUUGUAAUGAGGUCCAUCUUUGACUUGUACUACAUACAAUGCAAUUCUAAUAUAGAGUUGUGGGUACUUUCUGUGUAUUACUCAAAUACGUCGCUAAAUGGAUAUUAUACAGUUAACAUUUUGCUAUUACAUACCCCCAGUUGUGAUUGAAAUUUUUUGUAGUACAAGUUUCAAGUUUGGUCUUAUAUUCAUAUUUUUUCACAAAACUGUUUUCGUUCAUGUAGCUUAAAGACCGAUGACAAAAUAAUCUGAUUUGGUGUCGAUUACAAGAUGCGACCACGCUGUCACUCAAAGUAAUUUAAAAAAACGUAGGUAAGGGCGCGUAUGUCUAUGAGCCACACUUGAAAACGAACGAUUCGUCAUUUUUCAUGUCGUUUAUAUUCAAUACAUUCAAAGCAAGUCUGAA